GAUCCCUCCCCCACCCCUCCUGUCCACUCCCGCAGCCGAAGCCCCUCCCUCACCGUCGACGACCCACGCCGCCGCCGCACACUACCGCGCCCUCCCCUCACCCUGGCCCAAUUCAAUCCAACCCCGCGCGCACACCACUGCAGCCGCCGUCGACCCCUUCCUCCCUCCCCUCCCUCACAGCCAUGGCAUUCGCGCUCCCCCGCCCUCGCCACUGCCUCCUCGGCGGUGUUCCCCUCCUUCUCAGCCGCCUUCGCGGCGCCGAGGGCCGGCGCCACCGCGGCUAGGAGAGUCUCGCUCCACGGGGCCGUACCCGCGACCUGCUACCCCGCGCCCGCGCCAACUCCGGCGCUGCUCCACCCUCGCCCGUCCCACCCGCCGCUCCCGACCCGGCGGCGGCGCCGAGGCCGUCCCCGCCCACCAUGACUUGGAUGCCAAGUGGGACGCCUGCCUCGACCUCUCCAUCCGUCGCAUUGCCUACGCCCCUCGCCGGCUUCGGGGGCCUCAUCCUCUUCUGAUGGUGGUCGGGUGUCAACAAGGAAUGGAAAUUGAUGGAGAUCCCUACGUGUGCGUCGUUGGUAUACCAUGCAUGCUGGUAGCAGAUUGAUCAAGACGUCAACAACAAGAAAAUACUAUUCGUGUCAUGCACAAGUGCACCACAAAGAAGAGCACCGGUCCGUCUACUUCUUGCUGCUCCGACCCAAGUGCUGGCUGGCACCAUGGAAGCUCCAGAAGGACCAACAUUACCAUCAAGUACGCCAUCGAGGUGAAUGGAGCUUGUGUUGUUGGUAGAACUCUGUUGAUGACUUCUUCCUAUGUUGAAGAGCAUGUUCUGUGGUAUCCAAGAGUAGCGGUUUAUUUGUAGAUCCCAAUAUUUAUGAUUGUGUGGAUCUGGGUGAAGUUUCUAGUUCCUGGGUAUGCAAGAUUCGAUGGUGAAACUGGUUGAUGUGAUGCGAAUGAGUGUAUGGAAAUUGGUUGUUGUGAUGUGAAUGAGUGUAUGGAGUUUCACGUGUUCUGUUCUGUAUAGCAUAUUGUAAUAAACUUAUUUUAGCUGUUAUUUGAAGAUUUUCAUA
Molecule: long non-coding RNA, 1070 nt
Organism: Aegilops tauschii subsp. strangulata
Lineage: Eukaryota; Viridiplantae; Streptophyta; Magnoliopsida; Poales; Poaceae
Source: RefSeq, a predicted model, not a curated record